GCUGGCUGACGAGUGGCGGACGGGUGAGUAAUGUCUGGGAAACUGCCUGAUGGAGGGGGAUAACUACUGGAAACGGUGGCUAAUACCGCAUAACGUCGCAAGACCAAAGAGGGGGACCUUCGGGCCUCUUGCCAUCAGAUGUGCCCAGAUGGGAUUAGCUKGUUGGUGAGGUAACGGCUCACCAAGGCGACGAUCCCUAGCUGGUCUGAGAGGAUGACCAGCCACACUGGAACUGAGACACGGUCCAGACUCCUACGGGAGGCAGCAGUGGGGAAUAUUGCACAAUGGGCGCAAGCCUGAUGCAGCCAUGCCGCGUGUAUGAAGAAGGCCUUCGGGUUGUAAAGUACUUUCAGCGGGGAGGAAGGGAGUAAGGUUAAUAACCUUAUUCAUUGACGUUACCCGCAGAAGAAGCACCGGCUAACUCCGUGCCAGCAGCCGCGGUAAUACGGAGGGUGCAAGCGUUAAUCGGAAUUACUGGGCGUAAAGCGCACGCAGGCGGUCUGUCAAGUCGGAUGUGAAAUCCCCGGGCUCAACCUGGGAACUGCAUUCGAAACUGGCAGGCUGGAGUCUUGUAGAGGGGGGUAGAAUUCCAGGUGUAGCGGUGAAAUGCGUAGAGAUCUGGAGGAAUACCGG
Molecule: ribosomal RNA, 633 nt
Filed under: Salmonella enterica
Lineage: Bacteria; Pseudomonadati; Pseudomonadota; Gammaproteobacteria; Enterobacterales; Enterobacteriaceae
Description: bacterial SSU rRNA
Source: RNAcentral